GGCGCGGUGUUCCGGCGCUCGGGUGCCGGGCGGCCGUGCCGCGUACGGUAGGCGCGGUGUAUUUUUGGGGUUGGAUUCGUGUUGAUUUCUGGGGGCUUCCAGGUGCGGCCGCUCCCCGAGAAGCGAGACCGUGCUGAGGACGUGGUUGUCUGUCCUUCCCCCGGGGAUGCCGUUGACUGCGGCCGUCUCAGGCUUGCGUGGCUUCUCUCUGCCCGGCGUUGCCAUCCUCGCAGCGCGGGGGCGAAAAGGGACACACAGAGCCCUUCCCGGCUGUGGACAGGAGCUGCCUCGGCUGAAGCUGGAGACGCCAACGAAAGGUGGAGAACGGCCUAGAGUCUGGAGCUGCAGAAGAGGCAGGGCGGAGAGGAGGGGAAAGAAGCAUCUGAACGGCUAAAUUGUGCCAGCAGCGCUGAGAGCGAGAGUCGCGGUGAGUCCUGGGCCACUGGGGCCCCGUUGCCUCUCU
Molecule: non-coding RNA, 463 nt
Organism: Phalacrocorax carbo (great cormorant)
Lineage: Eukaryota; Metazoa; Chordata; Aves; Suliformes; Phalacrocoracidae
Source: RefSeq, a predicted model, not a curated record